CAGUAGCCGCGGUAAAACGGAGGGGGCUAGCGUUGUUCGGAAUUACUGGGCGUAAAGCGCACGUAGGCGGCUUGGUAAGUUAGAGGUGAAAGCCUGGAGCUCAACUCCAGAAUUGCCUUUAAGACUGCCGAGCUAGCAGGUGAGAGAGGUAAGUGGAAUUCCGAGUGUAGAGGUGAAAUUCGUAGAUAUUCGGAAGAACACCAGUGGCGAAGGCGGCUUACUGGCUCAUACUGGACGCUGAGGUGCGAAAGCGUGGGGAGCAAACAGGAUUAGAUACCCCCGUAGUCCCUGUCUCUUAUAA
This 301-nucleotide ribosomal RNA is filed under the name uncultured bacterium. Its description in RNAcentral is "partial 16S ribosomal RNA". It matches the Rfam family "Bacterial small subunit ribosomal RNA", at positions 509 to 809 of the family's 1533-position model. The record is from RNAcentral.